Small nucleolar RNA from Tachyglossus aculeatus (Australian echidna), 138 nucleotides. Lineage: Eukaryota; Metazoa; Chordata; Mammalia; Monotremata; Tachyglossidae. The record is from RefSeq and is a predicted model, not a curated record.
CUCCUCUUAGGAUCUCACCUGGAGAGUUUCCAGUUCUCUUCCAUUUUCAGAUACGAGAGGGAGAGUCGAGCAGAGGCAUACCCAUUCCAUUCCUAGCUUGGGUAGUGGCUAGUGAGUGGAAGACAAUCUGCUAGAAGU